AACGCCAGCUGGAGCAGCUCGCUGAGUAACAUUAUAUAGGUGUCAUAUCAGCGGUGUGCCCUAGGAAGGUUCUGUAUGGCCAAUUGAGUAAUCUUCAACGAAAUGGUUUUGAGCCAUUCACGCUGCUCUGUGCACACCCAAACACGCUUUCCAACUCGUAAUCUACGCUGCCACUCGCAUUGACGUUUGCCCCCACAUUUACAUCGGCGCACAUUGG
RNAcentral lists this long non-coding RNA (217 nucleotides) under Volvox carteri. Its description in RNAcentral is "long non-coding RNA (VCAR_LNC002113)". Lineage: Eukaryota; Viridiplantae; Chlorophyta; Chlorophyceae; Chlamydomonadales; Volvocaceae. The record is from RNAcentral.